CCUACGGGAGGCAGCAGUAGGGAAUAUUGCUCAAUGGGGGAAACCCUGAAGCAGCAACGCCGCGUGGAGGAUGAAGGUUUUCGGAUUGUAAACUCCUUUUGUUAGAGAAGAUAAUGACGGUAUCUAACGAAUACUCACCGGCUAACUCCGUGCCAGCAGCCGCGGUAAUACGGAGGGUGCAAGCGUUACUCGGAAUCACUGGGCGUAAAGAGCGCGUAGGCGGGACAGCAAGUCAGAUGUGAAAUCCUAGGGCUUAACCAUAGAACUGCAUUUGAAACUGUUAUUCUAGAGUAUGGGAGAGGUAGGUGGAAUGCUUGGUGUAGGGGUAAAAUCCGUAGAGAUCAAGAGGAAUACUCAUUGCGAAGGCGACCUGCUAGAACAUAACUGACGCUGAUGCGCGAAAGCGUGGGGAGCAAACAGGAUUAGAUACCCCAGUAGUC
This 440-nucleotide ribosomal RNA is filed under the name uncultured bacterium. RNAcentral describes it as "partial 16S ribosomal RNA". It matches the Rfam family "Bacterial small subunit ribosomal RNA", at positions 338 to 795 of the family's 1533-position model. The record is from RNAcentral.